This 245-nucleotide ribosomal RNA is filed under the name Lactobacillus delbrueckii subsp. allosunkii. RNAcentral's name for it is "Lactobacillus delbrueckii subsp. sunkii partial 16S ribosomal RNA". It matches the Rfam family "Bacterial small subunit ribosomal RNA", at positions 1 to 222 of the family's 1533-position model. Lineage: Bacteria; Bacillati; Bacillota; Bacilli; Lactobacillales; Lactobacillaceae. The record is from RNAcentral.
CAAAUUGAGAGUUUGAUCCUGGCUCAGGACGAACGCUGGCGGCGUGCCUAAUACAUGCAAGUCGAGCGAGCUGAAUUCAAAGAUCCCUUCGGGGUGAUUUGUUGGACGCUAGCGGCGGAUGGGUGAGUAACACGUGGGCAAUCUGCCCUAAAGACUGGGAUACCACUUGGAAACAGGUGCUAAUACCGGAUAACAACAUGAAUCGCAUGAUUCAAGUUUGAAAGGCGGCGAAAGCUGUCACUUUA